GUAAACAGCAUGAAUUUGGGAUUCUACAAUUACUCAGGCAAAAACUUGAAUCAUUGUGUUUCAGUCUUCUUACAUUAAAUGAGAAUACAAACUCAUUAAAAUAGGUACUCCCAACAUAUUGAAGAAAAGAACUCAUAAGAAUUGAAAGAGAUGUCAUAAAUACAUUGAUACAUAGGGCCUGGCACAUAUUUAAAGUGGGUGCAUGCUGCAUGCACACGUGUGUACCUGUUAUUUAUAUUUUCCCCACAAAUAACUAUGUAGUAUAUUGGCAGAGAGCGCCUCCUGCAUGCCCUGUACUUGCUGCUGGAAUUAGGAAGCCCUAGGUACCAUGAUGAGAAGGAGAAGACAAGUGAGUCUUUAGUUCACAUGCAGUUCAUUCUAUUUUUGACAUACUGUAAAGAUCUUUAUAUCUGUUAACUCCCACCCAUAUGCAGAGAGAAUCAAAGUAUUGUAAUUAUUUUCCCAACAGCCAGCCUUCUAAGAUCCACCCAUGUUGUACACAGAAAUUUCUAAGUGUACAUGGUACAGUACAAGACCAAAUGAAAUUUGAGCAAUGAAGAGAAAAGGCUCCGUAAACACUUGAUUGUCAUAAUCAUUGAACUUGCACUGGUAUCAUUCCAUUUUAUUCAAAAUGGUUUCCCAUGUUAGCUGUAUAAUGUAUUUUACAUGUCAACAGUGAAAGUGAGAUUAGUAGUGUGUGCAUUUUGAGAGACUGAUAAUUUAAACACUUUAACCAUCCACAGAAAAAAUCUGAAAGUACCACCUCUGUGAGAAUUGGUGUUCUCAUUUCUUUCCUGUUCAGGCAAGAGGAUGACAGCAACAGGAGAGCUGCAAUCAUGCUCCUUCUUUCAAAGCAGUCUCUAUGCUGGGUCACUGUCUGCGGUCAAAAUGUGAAUGUCUGCUUCCAUCUGAUUAGUUUUAUUCAGAAAGUCAAGGAGAGGGAUGAAAGGGGGAAGCCAUAGGAUAAUUGCUUUUAUUUCAGCUUAUUGCAGAGAGGAAAUGUGCAGCAGAUAAUAUAACACAUAUGCAUCAAAAAAGGAUCAUUCACUUCUGAUAAAGUGUGGAUGGGGAGGAAAUAAAGCUGAUGCAAACUCCCCACUGUCUGCAAAUCUAUUUAAAGUAUGAGAGAAUUCCAAUGGAAGUGGUGCAAAUUCAUCUUUAAUAUAGGAAUUCUUCUUUAAAAUAUCUGAAAUAUCGUGGCUUUUGUAGGAUGAAACAGGACCAUAGAGACCACCUUUCUUUUAUUCGCACCAUAAAUCAGCAUUUUUUGGCUGGUGUACAACAGGCAGUCUGAGAACUGAAUUCAGCACUAUAGGCCAAAUCUUUAAGCUGCCCAGCAUGUAUUUCUCUGUGAUUUUCUUUAAAUUUUUUUAAUUUUUAAUUUUUUUAUUUUAGAAUCUAAUUUUAUUAUAUUCACCCCAACUUCUCCAACAAAUAUUUAAGAUCAGUAACUAAGCAUGGAACAAUGUCCAAAGCUGUUCCGUUCCCCACCUUAGAGUGUAAGCUGGUUGUACUUAUGUUACUGAGUGGUUUAGGCCAGCACCCUUGAGGUCAGAGUCUCUGCUCACCCAGUGUUGCUGGUGGGGCAGCUACCAUGCCUGCAGUUGUGGUCCAGAGGAUGUCUGUGCUGAAUACAGAUACUGACACAAUGGAAGCUACUUCUCCUUGAAUCAAGCAAAAACAAAACCAAAAACGAUAGAAAGAAGUCCCAAUAUCUAAUAGCUUGUCAAUGUAAUUCAGGAUAUACAUUGAUGUUAUAACCACUUUUAAGGUUGGUUAAUGAAGGAACUGGCCUAGGCCCACUGCAGUGUGACUUUGGGAUAAGGUCCAAACAGAUAAACACUCUUCUUAGAUCUGCACAGCAGCAGAUACUUUUGCAAGUAACAUCAGAAUAGUAGAAGUUUAUGUGCUAUACUUACUUGAAUAACUAUCUGGGAAAGAUUAAGAAUAAAAUUGCCACCUUUAAAAAUGUUUCAUCUGUUUUGUGAUUUUUUUUAAAGAAGAUUCCACAUAACUCAAGGAGUAACUUGAGAACUGAAAGAUUACAUAUCUGUACCUUGUACAACGCUUGUAAAACCACAGCUUUCUAUAAUCUGUGUUUAGGAAUGAAUGUGAGAAGGCUGCAGUUAGGUAGUGUCCUGUUCCCCUCCAAAUUUUUACAGUUCAUUAGAAACAUAUGCUUUUACCUUUCUUUUUUUUUUUUUUUUUUUUGUCACCAAGAUAUCUGAAGGUGGUUUGAACAGAAGCAGCCAGACAUUUUUUCCCCCUCAGAAGUAGAUUAAAGAAACAGUAUUGAAGAGAACAAUUCUGAAAGCAGCCAACUAUCAACCGACUUGGGCAUUUGAAAUAAUAUUGGAAGUGUUUUCUGGUGUUGUUUAUAGUUUCUGACUGAAACAACAUGGAGAACUGGUAGUGAACAUCCAGUAAUAACAAUAACAAUUUCAUAAGGGAACUAGGAAACGGUAGCACAAACAUCUGGCACACUAUUUACAGUCACCAGCUCUACAAAGAAAUCUACAAAGGUCAUGGUCAUAGAUUUUUCAACUCUUGUCAGGACCAGGCACUAAAUUUAAACUAUCAUCUAGGGGGAUAUUGAAAUACCCAAAUAAUUUUGAUUUUAUUUUAGAUUUAUUUACAGUCUACUACCAUUUUUUAAAUGAUCUUUCAUGUCUUUGCUAUUAUAAGGGUGGAAGAACAUAAAGCUGAGGAACUUGAGUCUUGUCCUGGCUUUGUCUUUAAUUAACUGAGUAACUAUGAGAUAGGUGAUCAUGAAAGAGAUGGACUCCAUAAUUUCUAAAGUCCCUUCUAGCUUUAUAUUUUUUCAAAAUAUUUACAUUGUUUCCAUCAAAACUGUUGGUGCUUCAAUGAUGAUUAUGUGUCCAAGGAGCUAAUGUUAUACUUGGUAUAUUGCAUAUGUCAAGACCUAAGAAAGAAUGCAGAGGAACCCCUCAGUGAAUGGGGAAAGGGUCUCAGAAUGUUGGCUUCCAUUGGUUCUCAUUGAAGUGAAAUAUCUUGGGGCAACUGUUUUUAAGGAGAGAUACU
RNAcentral lists this long non-coding RNA (3042 nucleotides) under Homo sapiens (human). RNAcentral describes it as "HSALNT0205392". Lineage: Eukaryota; Metazoa; Chordata; Mammalia; Primates; Hominidae. The record is from RNAcentral.